GCUUGGAUGAUGACUUCAGUCAUAAGUCGGAUACCCCUUCACUCUGCAUGAGUGAGAAGGUAUGACUGACAAGC
Small nucleolar RNA from Pseudophryne corroboree (corroboree frog), 74 nucleotides. RefSeq annotates it as small nucleolar RNA SNORD101. The transcript has a single exon. NCBI's taxonomy places the organism in Eukaryota, Metazoa, Chordata, Amphibia, Anura, Myobatrachidae. The record is from RefSeq and is a predicted model, not a curated record.